Pseudopipra pipra is the source of this 1594-nucleotide long non-coding RNA. RefSeq lists it as uncharacterized. The record is from RefSeq and is a predicted model, not a curated record. The transcript has 5 exons. Lineage: Eukaryota; Metazoa; Chordata; Aves; Passeriformes; Pipridae.
CUGUCCUGGUGCUGCCCCAGUGGUCGGUUCCCAGCUCAGCACUCUGCUGUGGGUGUGAUUUGGGCAGGCUGGGGACCAAGGCCACCAUCUGACCCCAGUGGCACCGUGCUGUGAGCUCUGCUGGAAGAUAUACGUGGGGCACAGUCCUCCAGCCUGGCUCACAACUCAAAAAGCACUUGGUGGAGGUAAAUGGAGAGGGAAGAGUAAUGAUUCCAGCCCUAGGGGCAGUGCAAGCUAUCUCUGGACUGAACCUGGGACAAUUAAUACCUCCAAGAUAGGCCUAAUGGAUUGUUUGAGAUUUGGGGCUGCAAAGUACAAUCAAAAGCCAAGUGUUUGACUGUUGUUAUAAUUGCCACCAGGCUCCUUUUGAAGCCCCACGCAAAGAAAUAGAGAGACCUGAGCCAUCAAUAAUAUCGCUGGAGGAGAAAAUUGAAGGGAUAUCUGCCCAAUUAAAUAACCUACAGGGCUGGAAUUGAGAAUCAAUGUGGCAUGAACGAUGAGGUGUGGACUGCUGCUGCUGAGCACUAAAUCCACCACAGCCUCUGGUUUAACCCAAGGAGAGGGAUGGGAGCGCUGCUGCAGCCAGGACUGCCCAGGCUUGGAGUGGCCACUGCAGGAGGCAGGAGGUGGCUGGAGAAUGGCUUGGCAUCAUUAUCCUGUGGGCUGGGACACAGUAAAGUCGUGGAUCUUCAGAGCUCAGGACACAUCACUGGCUGGCAACGCUGGGACAGUCCUGCCCAAACGUCACCCGAGCAGAGAGGGCCCUCUGUCUCCAUGGAAGUGGGAUUCCAUCAUCUGGGCACCUUUCCAGUGGGUAUUAAGGCACAUUCAGCCUGGCAUCGCUGAGGGACAAGCAGGGAUGCAGCCUCCACGGCAGCUCUGCAGCCCACAGCAGCAUCCAGGCAUCACUCCCUGCAGGAAUGCUUGCCAUGGUCUUGGAGCACUGCUGAAAACCUGUCCCAGCAGAAGCCCACAGGGAAGGACCUGUCCUGGAGUCACGGGAAAAGCUCCUGAACAAAACCAAGCCCUGAAUUCUCCGCUGAGCUGGAAGCACAUGCCCAUCCUCCCUGACUGGGUUUCAAGGCUGCAGCUGAGCAGAUGGACAAGGGAUCCAGUUGGGGUGAAGGUGCUGAGCUCCCCUCUGCUGACUGAGGAUCCAGUCCUGAGCCCAGGGUGCAACUAAUCUGAACUCCAGAAUCCAUUUCAAGCAAACUCCAUCUCGGGGCUUUGGAUGCUGCAGCAACAAGGCAAAGGAUCCGUGCAGGGGGUGGUCUGAGAGUGCCCAACCUCGUCACACACAGGAUGCUUCAGUGCCAACAUCUGGUGUUUUUCAGAGGGACUCCGGAAGGGAAGGAGCAUCCUGCCCCUGACAUCUCCACUGAGCCAUAUUAUUAGUUUUGGUGAUUAAAUCGAAGCCCAUUUGCAGGUGACAAUGCUGUAAAAAUAAGUAGGUACCAGAGCCGACAUUGUGAAAACGAGGCAGGAGCACAGAGCUCAGGCAGCAUACAUAAUCCGUGGGGAAAUAAGUGUGUGAAUAAUGAAUGGGCACUGGAAAAAUAAAAUACAUUAUUGUGGUAAAGAUAAGUCUAUUAAA